RNAcentral lists this ribosomal RNA (253 nucleotides) under uncultured bacterium. RNAcentral describes it as "partial 16S ribosomal RNA". It matches the Rfam family "Bacterial small subunit ribosomal RNA", at positions 524 to 776 of the family's 1533-position model. The record is from RNAcentral.
UACGUAGGGCGCAAGCGUUGUCCGGAAUUAUUGGGCGUAAAGAGCUCGUAGGCGGCUUGUCACGUCGGGUGUGAAAGCCCGGGGCUUAACCCCGGGUCUGCAUUCGAUACGGGCAGACUAGAGUUCGGUAGGGGAGACUGGAAUUCCUGGUGUAGCGGUGAAAUGCGCAGAUAUCAGGAGGAACACCGGUGGCGAAGGCGGGUCUCUGGGCCGAUACUGACGCUGAGGAGCGAAAGCGUGGGGAGCGAACAGG